UACGAAGGGAGCUAGCGUUGUUCGGAAUCACUGGGCGUAAAGCGCACGUAGGCGGAUGUGUCAGUCAGGGGUGAAAUCCCGGAGCUCAACUUCGGAACUGCCCUUGAUACAGCACGUCUUGAGUCCGGAAGAGGUGGGUGGAAUUCCUAGUGUAGAGGUGAAAUUCGUAGAUAUUAGGAAGAACACCGGUGGCGAAGGCGGCCAACUGGUCCGGUACUGACGCUGAGGUGCGAAAGCGUGGGGAGCAAACAGG
This 253-nucleotide ribosomal RNA is filed under the name uncultured bacterium. RNAcentral's name for it is "partial 16S ribosomal RNA". It matches the Rfam family "Bacterial small subunit ribosomal RNA", at positions 524 to 776 of the family's 1533-position model. The record is from RNAcentral.